UUGUUUUUUUUUUUUUUUUUUUUUUUUUUUUUUUUUUUUUUUUUCCCCACAGGGUUUGGGGGGUUAUUA
RNAcentral lists this non-coding RNA (69 nucleotides) under Phaeomonas parva. Lineage: Eukaryota; Pinguiophyceae; Pinguiochrysidales; Pinguiochrysidaceae. The record is from RNAcentral.